CAUUGGUGAGAAUCCAAUACACUGAAAACCUAAGGGUUCCUCCGCAAGGUUUGUCCACGGAGCGUGGGUCUCGGCUUAAGAUCAGGCCGAAAGGCAUAGUCGAUGGAUAACGUGUGAAUAUUCAUAUAUUACUACGAAAUAAUGGGAUUGAGAAGUAGAUUUUCGAAUUCUAGUUUGCAUUUAGUUGUUCAAAAGACUUAAAAAAAGGAAUGUUGAAAGAAGAUUUCAUAUG
RNAcentral lists this ribosomal RNA (232 nucleotides) under Olea europaea subsp. europaea. RNAcentral's name for it is "Bacterial large subunit ribosomal RNA". It matches the Rfam family "Bacterial large subunit ribosomal RNA", at positions 1316 to 1554 of the family's 2925-position model. Lineage: Eukaryota; Viridiplantae; Streptophyta; Magnoliopsida; Lamiales; Oleaceae. The record is from Rfam by way of RNAcentral.